UACGUAGGGGGCAAGCAUUGUCCGGAAUCAUUGGGCGUAAAGAGCGUGUAGGCGGCUCGGUAAGUCCGCUGUGAAAGUCCAGGGCUCAACCCUGGAAUGCCGGUGGAAACUGUCGAGCUAGAGUCCGGAAGAGGCGAGUGGAAUUCCUGGUGUAGCGGUGAAAUGCGCAGAUAUCAGGAAGAACACCCGUGGCUAAGGCGGCUCUCUAGUACGGUACUGACGCUGAGACGCGAAAGCGUGGGGAGCGAACAGG
This 253-nucleotide ribosomal RNA is filed under the name uncultured bacterium. RNAcentral describes it as "partial 16S ribosomal RNA". It matches the Rfam family "Bacterial small subunit ribosomal RNA", at positions 524 to 776 of the family's 1533-position model. The record is from RNAcentral.